Molecule: ribosomal RNA, 521 nt
Filed under: uncultured bacterium
Lineage: Bacteria
Description: bacterial SSU rRNA
Rfam family: Archaeal small subunit ribosomal RNA
Source: RNAcentral
AACCUCCGCAAUGUGAGAAAUCGCGACGGGGGGAUCCCAAGUGCCAUUCUUAACGGGAUGGCUUUUCAUUAGUGUAAAGAGCUUUUGGAAUAAGGGCUGGGCAAGACCGGUGCCAGCCGCCGCGGUAACACCGGCAGCUCUAGUGGUAGCAGUUUUUAUUGGGCCUAAAGCGUCCGUAGCCGGUUUAAUAAGUCUCUGGUGAAAUCCUGUAGCUUAACUGUGGGAAUUGCUGGAGAUACUAUUAGACUUGAGACCGGGAGAGGUUAGAGGUACUCCCAGGGUAGAGGUGAAAUUCUGUAAUCCUGGGAGGACCGCCUGUUGCGAAGGCGUCUAACUGGAACGGUUCUGACGGUGAGGGACGAAAGUUAGGGGCGCGAACCGGAUUAGAUACCCGGGUAGUCCUAACUGUAAACGAUGCGGACUUGGUGUUGGGGUGGCUUUGAGCUGCUCCAGUGCCGAAGGGAAGCUGUUAAGUCCGCCGCCUGGGAAGUACGGUCGCAAGACUGAAACUUAAAAGAAUU